Daphnia pulicaria is the source of this 1589-nucleotide long non-coding RNA. RefSeq lists it as uncharacterized. The transcript is spliced from 7 exons. The record is from RefSeq and is a predicted model, not a curated record. NCBI's taxonomy places the organism in Eukaryota, Metazoa, Arthropoda, Branchiopoda, Diplostraca, Daphniidae.
GUAAUAUCAGUUCGCAAUCAUGGGUCAAUGUUCAUUUUUAUUUCGAGUCGUAAAUCUAUUCUAUCUUGUUAUUAGUUGUUGAUACGACUAGUUACCUUCGAAAACUAAUUUCCCAUUGUUUAUUACAUAGUUAAUUAUGGCAUUGUGUUGCUGUUGGGUGUUGUAUCGUUGAUGUCGACCACGAGAGAAAAUCUUUUAAAAGGAAAGAGAAAAGGCAACAGAAGUCAAUCGAGUGAGCAUCUCCGACCCGGUAACAACUGCAUUCUUCGUCGUAUUACCAGGUCGCAAUCACGGUUAACUAUGCCGUCAUGCUGCUAUUGGUUGUUGUAUCGUCGAUGGCUGGGUCGACCACUGGUGUACCGACGUCUCCUGAAUAAGGCGUAUAUCAAACCGCAACGCCACCGCCUUACUACGCAACAACAUACGCAACGACCAGAUACUACACCGAGGUUGCACUGUUGGGUUUACAGUUAAACCACCAAGGAUCCAGAUGAUUUCACCACAACUUGUGCUGCUCCUCGAGCUACACUACCAAAGCGCUAGAGUACUACACCGAGGCACCUACUGAGACUACGCAACUACGUAUGCUGCCCCAACCUACGACACCGAGGCUCCAGCUUAUUACAUCACCAAGGCUGUCGAAUUCUACACUGGAGCGCCCAAGUACGACAGAAAUCAGUCAAGUGAGCUUCUCCGACACCCAACACGGCAACCCCGAAGUUUCGAAUAAACUUCGUUUCAAACAGUGGAACGGCAAAGAGUGAAGACAAAUUCGACUGCAAUCGCGUCGAAUUGAAUAGCAAUGAUAACAUAUUCGUACGUGUACACCGCGCCGUUAAACUUGACAUUGUCGGUCGGCAAGCCGCACUUGACGAUGGCCGUACCAUCACCUACGACAAGUGCGUUAUUGCCACAGGUGUUAAACGAAAAUCUUUUCCAAUCCCUGAGCGGUGCCCUUAAAGAUGCCCACGAGCACGUAGCGCUGUUCCGCAACAUCGAUGGCGGUAACAUAGGUCGAGUUCUCCGUCCUCCUAAAUAUUUGAGCCAAUGGACAACCGAGAAGGUGAAAGCGGAAAGUGUUAAUGUUUUGCCCAAAACUAAUGUUGAGGGUGUAAUUUUGGAAGACUACAAGGUCGCAUUGUCCUUAAACAAUGAUUUAAACUGACAAUAUCGUCGCUGCUGUCGGUUGGGACGUAAACACGGAUUUGGCUGUUGCUUUUGGUUUGGAAAUAGAGGAGAGGAGAUUUUGGUGGUUAUCGAGUCAAUACCGAGCUUGAAGCACAAUCGAACGUUUGUUUGACGUUCUUUUGUGAUAUCAAAUUGGGUCGCUGUUGUAUGGAACAUGUUCACCAUGCUGUUGUAUCAGGGCGAUUGGCUGGAGAGAACAAUACUGGCAAAGAAAUGUGGAUGAAAAACUGCAGUGCACUGUUACCAAGUGCAUUCUUCGUCGUAUUAUCAGUACGCAAUCGGUUGAUGUGAUGUCGUGAUGUUGCCGUUUGCCUUAUCGUUGAAGGCUGGGUCGAUCACUGGUGUACGGAUGUCUCCUGGGUAUGGUGGAUACCAAAGCAUCACGCCGACGCCAUACUACA